Molecule: transfer RNA, 69 nt
Filed under: Camelus bactrianus (Bactrian camel)
Lineage: Eukaryota; Metazoa; Chordata; Mammalia; Artiodactyla; Camelidae
Also listed under: 1 other name
Rfam family: tRNA
About the family: Transfer RNA (tRNA) molecules are approximately 80 nucleotides in length. Their secondary structure includes four short double-helical elements and three loops (D, anti-codon, and T loops). Further hydrogen bonds mediate the characteristic L-shaped molecular structure. tRNAs have two regions of fundamental functional importance: the anti-codon, which is responsible for specific mRNA codon recognition, and the 3' end, to which the tRNAs corresponding amino acid is attached (by aminoacyl-tRNA synthetases). tRNAs cope with the degeneracy of the genetic code in two manners: having more than one tRNA (with a specific anti-codon) for a particular amino acid; and 'wobble' base-pairing, i.e. permitting non-standard base-pairing at the 3rd anti-codon position.
Source: Rfam by way of RNAcentral
GAGGGUAUAGCUCAGUAGAGUGCAUGCUUAGCAUGCAGGAAGUCUUGGGUUCAAUCUCCAGUACCUCCA